GAUGAAGAACGCAGCGAAAUGCGAUACGUAAUGUGAAUUGCAGAAUUCAGUGAAUCAUCGAGUCUUUGAACGCACAUUGCGCCCUCUGGUAUUCCGGAGGGCAUGCCUGUCCGAGCGUCAUUGCUGCCCUCAAGCACGGCUUGUGUGUUGGGCUCCGUCCCCCGAUCCCGGGGGACGGGCCCGAAAGGCAGCGGCGGCACCGCGUCCGGUCCUCGAGCGUAUGGGGCUUUGUCACCCACUCUGUAGGCCCGGCCGGCGCUUGCCGAUCAACCAAAUUUUUAUCCAGGUUGACCUCGGAUCAGGUAGGGAUACCCGCUGAACUUAAGCAUAUCAAUAAGCGGAGGA
RNAcentral lists this unclassified non-coding RNA (345 nucleotides) under soil metagenome. RNAcentral describes it as "partial contains 5.8S ribosomal RNA, internal transcribed spacer 2, and large subunit ribosomal RNA". The stretch from base 1 to 120 matches the Rfam family "5.8S ribosomal RNA", at positions 35 to 154 of the family's 154-position model. The record is from RNAcentral.